Molecule: transfer RNA, 77 nt
Filed under: Pseudomonas phage SPA05
Lineage: Duplodnaviria; Heunggongvirae; Uroviricota; Caudoviricetes; Vandenendeviridae
Also listed under: 1 other name
Description: tRNA-Arg
Rfam family: tRNA
About the family: Transfer RNA (tRNA) molecules are approximately 80 nucleotides in length.
Source: RNAcentral
GCUCGUAUAGCAUAACUGGACAAUGCAACGACCUUCUAAGUCGUCGAUUCUAGGUUCGAGUCCUAGUACGAGCGCCA